RNAcentral lists this long non-coding RNA (541 nucleotides) under Equus asinus (donkey). Its description in RNAcentral is "lncRNA (ENSEASG00005038071.1)". The record is from RNAcentral. Lineage: Eukaryota; Metazoa; Chordata; Mammalia; Perissodactyla; Equidae.
GGGGGGUCCAACAGAGCCUCAGGCUCCAAUUACUUCAUCGGCUUGUAGCCUGUUUGGACUGGAGCUCCUGCACCCCAUGUCAAGCUGGAAAUUGCGCUUUCUAUCAGCACAGGGACAAGCAAAGAAUGGCAUUCAAUAAUGCCUAAGCUACCGCCCGGUGUGGCAAAGAAGCAGGAAGGACCUAGGCACCAAUUAGCCAGGCAACUGUGGCCAUCAAUCAAGAGCGUCCUGGCUCCCAGCAUGUGGGUCGAGCCUGGCCCUGCCAUGGAAAUCACACUGCAAACCCAUCCCCAGAGGAGGGUUGGGACAGCUAACCCUGCAAAGUGGCAAGGACUAUCAUUCCAGCAAGUUGGUUCAACUCCACAACCUGGAGGGGAAGUCAUUUCCGUGAAGCACUGGUGUGAACAACAGUCACAGGUGGGAAGAGGAAUGGGACAAGGAGGAGGAAGAAGGAAACAGUCCCAUAAUUUUAGAAAGAGUGUGAAAAAAAGAAGUUAGACUUCUAGGUUCUAUUUCUGGCUCUGCCUCUGUUUUCUAGCCA